UCGAGGAUCUUUAGCAAUGGGCGAAAGCCUGACUAUGUGACGCCGCGUGAGGGAUGAAGGUCUUCGGAUCGUAAACCUCUUUCAAUGGGGAAGAAACCCCGCCAUAGAAAUGUGGUGGGCUGACGGUACCCAGAGAAGAAGCCACGGCCAACUCCGUGCCAGCAGCCGCGGUAAUACGGAGGUGGCGAGCGUUACUCGGAUUCAUUGGGUGUAAAGGGCAGGUAGGCGGCUAUGUAAGUUGGAGGUGAAAUCCUUGGGCUCAACCCAAGAACUGCCUUCAAAACUGCAUAGCUUGAGGCUGGAAGAGGAGAGCGGAAUUCCCGGUGUAAGGGUGAAAUCUGUAGAUAUCGGGAGGAACACCAGUGGCGAAAGCGGCUCUCUGGUCUAGCCCUGACGCUGA
This 400-nucleotide ribosomal RNA is filed under the name uncultured bacterium. RNAcentral's name for it is "bacterial SSU rRNA". It matches the Rfam family "Bacterial small subunit ribosomal RNA", at positions 355 to 749 of the family's 1533-position model. The record is from RNAcentral.